Molecule: ribosomal RNA, 700 nt
Filed under: uncultured bacterium
Lineage: Bacteria
Description: bacterial SSU rRNA
Rfam family: Bacterial small subunit ribosomal RNA
Source: RNAcentral
AGAGUUUGAUCCUGGCUCAGGAUGAACGCUGGCGGCGUGCUUAACACAUGCAAGUCGAGCGGAGUUUAAUUGCGGAUCCCCUUCGGGGGUGAAAGAGUUAAAUUUAGCGGCGGACGGGUGCGUAACGCGUGGGUAAUCUGCCCUUGUCACUGGGAUAACACAUCGAAAGGUGUGCUAAUACUAGAUAAAAUGCAGACUCGGCAUCGAGACUGUAUCAAAGUCAUGCGGACAAGGAUGAGCCUGCGUCUGAUUAGCUUGUUGGUGGGGUAAAAGCCUACCAAGGCGACGAUCAGUAGCCGACCUGAGAGGGUGAUCGGCCACACUGGAACUGAGACACGGUCCAGACUCCUACGGGAGGCAGCAGUGGGGAAUAUUGCACAAUGGGCGCAAGCCUGUUGCAGCAACGCCGCGUGAGUGAUGAAGGCCUUCGGGUCGUAAAACUCUGUCCUAAGGGAAGAUAAUGACGGUACCUUAGGAGGAAGCCCCGGCUAACUACGUGCCAGCAGCCGCGGUAAUACGUAGGGGGCAAGCGUUAUCCGGAAUUACUGGGCGUAAAGGGUGCGUAGGUGGCCUGACAAGUCAGGGGUCAAAGGCAACGGCUCAACCGUUGUAAGCCCUUGAAACUGUCGGGCUUGAGUUCAGGAGAGGAAAGCGGAAUUCCAAGUGUAGCGGUGAAAUGCGUAGAUAUUUGGAGGAACAC